Molecule: RNase P RNA, 459 nt
Filed under: Candidatus Uhrbacteria bacterium RIFCSPLOWO2_02_FULL_51_9
Lineage: Bacteria; Candidatus Uhriibacteriota
Description: RNase P RNA component class A
Rfam family: Bacterial RNase P class A
About the family: Ribonuclease P (RNase P) is a ubiquitous endoribonuclease, found in archaea, bacteria and eukarya as well as chloroplasts and mitochondria. Its best characterised activity is the generation of mature 5'-ends of tRNAs by cleaving the 5'-leader elements of precursor-tRNAs. Cellular RNase Ps are ribonucleoproteins.
Source: RNAcentral
GUGCUCAUUCAAGAUGGUUGCCCGUUUCUGCCGUCCUGUUGGACGGCACGUAGCGGGAGGAAAGUCCGAACACCCUAUGACAACGCAGGUCACAUUGACAGUCCCCGCGUUGACGUAUAGAAGCAGGUAGUGGGUAACGCCCACCCUUUGCAUGGCAACAUGCAGAGCGGGACAGUGCCACAGAGACGAUACUAAUCCCGAUUCGUCGGGAUCAAAGGUGAAACGUGUUCUGAUAUAUAAGACGAUAGAAGGAAUUCCUUGUCUUAUGUUACAGAACUCGGCUCCGCGUAAGCGGAUGCCGUGGUAAACCCUGCCUGGUGCAAGUGCAGCGCUUCUCGAGGUGAAUCGGGAUUCGAAAAGUUCGCACGCAAAGAACUGCGGGAGCAAUCCCGUGGUCAAGAGUGAUAACCAUCACCCAUUGUCUGGGAACAGAAUUCGGCUUAUUGAAUGGGCACCGUA